GAGAGAGAGAGAGAGAGAGAGAGAGAGAGAGAGAGAGAGAGAGAGAGAGAGAGAGAGAGAGAGAGAGAGAGAGAGAGAGAGAGAGAGAGAAGGGCGCCAUCUAAGAAAAGGACAGAGAAAGUGUAGAGAAGGACGAACUUGAUAUAACACUACAUGAAACAGAUGAUCUGUAGUGAGAAGCGAUCAAGGGAGGGCGGCAAACGAUUUUUUCCGGCAAAUCGGCGAACCGGCAAUUUGCCGGAAUCGAAAAUUUUCGGCAAAUCGGUAAACCGUCAAAUUGCCGGAAUUAAAAAUUUCCGGCA
Caenorhabditis elegans is the source of this 302-nucleotide non-coding RNA. The record is from Ensembl. NCBI's taxonomy places the organism in Eukaryota, Metazoa, Nematoda, Chromadorea, Rhabditida, Rhabditidae.